This 621-nucleotide ribosomal RNA is filed under the name uncultured bacterium. RNAcentral describes it as "bacterial SSU rRNA". It matches the Rfam family "Bacterial small subunit ribosomal RNA", at positions 202 to 841 of the family's 1533-position model. The record is from RNAcentral.
AAAAUUUCCGGAGGUAUACGAUGGACCCGCGUCUGAUUAGCCAGUUGGCAGGGUAACGGCCUACCAAAGCAACGAUCAGUAGCCGGCCUGAGAGGGUGGACGGCCACAUUGGGACUGAGACACGGCCCAAACUCCUGCGGGAGGCAGCAGUGGGGGAUAUUGCACAAUGGGGGAAACCCUGAUGCAGCGACGCCGCGUGAGUGAAGAAGCAUUUCGGUGUGUAAAGCUCUAUCAGCAGGGAAGAAGAAUGACGGUACCUGACUAAGAAGCCCCGGCUAACUACGUGCCAGCAGCCGCGGUAAUACGUAGGGGGCAAGCGUUAUCCGGAUUUACUGGGUGUAAAGGGAGCGUAGACGGCAAUGCAAGCCAGAUGUGAAAACCCGCAGCUCAACUGGGGGAGUGCAUUUGGAACUGUGUAGCUGGAGUGCAGGAGAGGUAAGCGGAAUUCCUGGUGUAGCGGUGAAAUGCGUAGAUAUCAGGAGGAACACCAGUGGCGAAGGCGGCUUACUGGACUGUAACUGACGUUGAGGCUCGAAAGCGUGGGGAGCAAACAGGAUUAGAUACCCUGGUAGUCCGCGCUGUAAACGAUGAAUACUAGGUGUCGGGGGUUUACGGACGCCC